Molecule: ribosomal RNA, 465 nt
Filed under: uncultured Klebsiella sp.
Lineage: Bacteria; Pseudomonadati; Pseudomonadota; Gammaproteobacteria; Enterobacterales; Enterobacteriaceae
Description: bacterial SSU rRNA
Rfam family: Bacterial small subunit ribosomal RNA
Source: RNAcentral
CCUACGGGCGGCAGCAGUGGGGAAUAUUGCACAAUGGGCGCAAGCCUGAUGCAGCCAUGCCGCGUGUGUGAAGAAGGCCUUCGGGUUGCAAAGCACUUUCAGCGGGGAGGAAGGCGUUAAGGUUAAUAACCUUGGCGAUUGACGUUACCCGCAGAAGAAGCACCGGCUAACUCCGUGCCAGCAGCCGCGGUAAUACGGAGGGUGCAAGCGUUAAUCGGAAUUACUGGGCGUAAAGCGCACGCAGGCGGUCUGUCAAGUCGGAUGUGAAAUCCCCGGGCUCAACCUGGGAACUGCAUUCGAAACUGGCAGGCUAGAGUCUUGUAGAGGGGGGUAGAAUUACAGGUGUAGCGGUGAAAUGCGUAGAGAUCUGGAGGAAUACCGGUGGCGAAGGCGGCCCCCUGGACAAAGACUGACGCUCAGGUGCGAAAGCGUGGGGAGCAAACAGGAUUAGAUACCCGAGUAGUC